CCCGGGCCUUGUACACACCGCCCGUCACACCAUGGGAGUCGGCUGUACCAGAAGUAGGUAGCUUAACCCGUAAGGGAGGGCGCUUACCACGGUGUGGUCGAUAACUGGGGUG
RNAcentral lists this ribosomal RNA (112 nucleotides) under uncultured bacterium. RNAcentral's name for it is "partial 16S ribosomal RNA". It matches the Rfam family "Bacterial small subunit ribosomal RNA", at positions 1373 to 1482 of the family's 1533-position model. The record is from RNAcentral.